CCUACGGGAGGCAGCAGUGGGGAAUAUUGCACAAUGGGGGAAACCCUGAUGCAGCAACGCCGCGUGAGUGAAGAAGUAUUUCGGUAUGUAAAGCUCUAUCAGCAGGGAAGAAGAUGACGGUACCUGAGUAAGAACCCCCGGCGAACUCCGUGCCAGCAGCCGCGGUAAUACGUAGGGGGCAAGCGUUAUCCGGAUUUACUGGGUGGAAAGGGAGCGCAGACGGUGAGACAAGUCUGAAGUGAAAGCCCGGGGCUCAACCCCGGGACUGCUUUGGAAACUGCCUGACUGGAGUGCGGGAGAGGCAAGCGGAAUUCCUAGUGUAGCGGUGAAAUGCGUAGGUAUUAGGAAGAACACCAGUGGCGAAGGCAGCUUGCUGGACAGUAACUGACGUUGAGGCACGAAAGUGUGGGUAUCAAACAGGAUUAGAUACCCCAGUAGUC
RNAcentral lists this ribosomal RNA (440 nucleotides) under uncultured bacterium. Its description in RNAcentral is "partial 16S ribosomal RNA". It matches the Rfam family "Bacterial small subunit ribosomal RNA", at positions 338 to 795 of the family's 1533-position model. The record is from RNAcentral.